Long non-coding RNA from Equus caballus (horse), 2032 nucleotides. Lineage: Eukaryota; Metazoa; Chordata; Mammalia; Perissodactyla; Equidae. The record is from Ensembl.
CGCUGCGCCCGAAGCCCCGCGGAGCUGCUGAAAACCACUAGCUAUCAAAUGAACCCUCAGUUCCGCCUCAGUAACUUUAAGUUCAAGUUUAUCACUGAAGCGUCACUCAUGUGAGAAGAAGAUACAAGCCUCGGAGGGCGGUGGGGCCCAGCUUCAAUUACCAUAAAGGGUAACGGGAGGCCCUGGCUGCGGGGAGGGGAGCCGGAGUGAGCGCCUUCGUGGAAACAGACCCUGUCAAGAUGAAAUAGGAAAGAUCUGGGUGUCACGGGGAUGAUUUGUUUCUUGUUUCUCCCCUUUGUCUAUGGGCUGAUGGUUUGAAUAAUGAAGACGGUAUUGGUUUUCUUCUCGAGCACGCCAGCACAGGAGGUCUGCUUUUCUGAUGGCACAGCUGACAUAUUAAGAGGGAUUAAAGUUUCUGUACACGGGCAAUGUUUAAAUUAGCUUCCUUAAGCCCCAAAGAGAUCGUUCCAGCUGAUCGGCAAAAUGAACCCCAGCACGGCCGGCAGCCACCCUGCGCAGGUUGCCUAAACAGAGCCGCGGUGUCCUGUUUGGUCAGCUGUUUUGCAAAAUCAGAAGAAAAGGAAAGGCACUAAUCCCCGCCGAGCCGGAAAUCUUUCCAGGCUGGGGCCAGAAAGGUGAGUGGAGAGGUACAGCACAGAUGCCUCACGCAGAGCCACCUGUACCUGGGAGUUCUUGCAUGGCCAGGAAGACGGUUACUGGCCCAGCGUUGAUGCCAACACUGUGCCCCAUAACUCCUGUUAUUCUUGUCCUGGGGAGCAGGCGUAAGAGUAGGUACUCAAUGCGGUCUCUGAAUGUCUCAGGGCACUAAGCUGUACCCUAAACAUAAGCUUCCACUGGCAAUUAAGCAUCUAAUCAAACACUCCUGGCUCAGGAACAAAAGUGGAGGCUUAACUCCUUCCUGGGCUGCGGGCCCCAACAACGGUUGCCUGCCUGUCAGAGCCGUGUGCCUCCCUCCCCACAUCUGCUCCUCUGAAGGGGAGAAAACCCACAGCGAGCUCCCGACCUCAGGCACGGCCAUGCUGAACAGCUUAGGGAGGCGGCUCCUUUGAGAGCCGCGUGUUCUGCUGCUCACAAACGCCACAAGGCAAAAUGGGCUGGAGCCACAUGGCCCCAAACACCUCUGCCUCCGCACAUCUCAUCCCAGAAAUGCCCUUUACUUUAAAAGAUCCAAGCGGCCGGAUUUGUGACCAGAGAUGACCAUUUUCCUUCCAUUUUAUUUUAGCCCUAUGCAAAGAGCCUCUGGGAUGGGCCUGUGGCUCCUGCCCCUCUGGGGUUCACACAGUGUGUGGUGGCCCCCUGCCUUUGAGUGUGGGCGAACCUGUGACUUAUUUCUAAACAACUGAGAAUGGCAAAAGGGAAGGUAGAUAUUAUGAAGGUCCCAAAUCAGUUGAUCUGGAGUGAAUCAGAGGGAGAUUAUUCCGAGUGGCUUGAGUUAAUCAGGUGGAAGCCGUUAAAUGAGGGACCAGGCCCUUAUAGGACAAAGAUUCUCCUUGCUGGCUUGAUGCCAUAAGACACCAUGUUGCAGAAGCCCACAUGGCAAGGACUGCAGGUGGCCUCUAGGACUUGGGGUGGCCACCAGCUGACAGCCAGCAAAAAGUUGGGACCCUCAGCCAUAGAACAACCAGGAAAUGAAUUCUGCCAACAAGCCGAAUGAGCAUGGAAGUAUAUUCUUUCUCUGUUUGCUGUCCAGAUGAAAAUGAGUUCGGGCCAACAGUUUAUUAGAAUCCAGUGACAUCCUAAGCAGAAGACCCGGUUAAGCUGUGCCUGGACUCCUGACUCAUGGAACCUGUGAGAUAAAACCUGUGUUGUUUCCCCUCUCCACCCUUCUCUGGUGAGAGGGCACCUGCGUGGGUGAGGCCCACAGGAUCCUGGCCCCUGUGGCUUCUAGUUGGGUCUGGACAAUGCAGAGCACCAGAGAGAUGGAGCCUCGAAGUGGGCUGACUACGUCCCUCCGCUGAAGGCCACUGUACCUCUCGAGGAGGCCAAUUCUACAAGACCUUCUUCUGCUGGC